Non-coding RNA from Tricholoma furcatifolium, 89 nucleotides. NCBI's taxonomy places the organism in Eukaryota, Fungi, Basidiomycota, Agaricomycetes, Agaricales, Tricholomataceae. The record is from the annotation of a GenBank genome assembly.
CCGAUCUUAGCUCAGCUGGCAGAGCGCGAGACUGUAAUGGUUGCAAUCAAUUCAUCUUGAGGUCGCCUGUUCAAACCAGGCAGAUCGGA